AGACAAUAAAUUUUAACUUGCAAUUAAUACACACUUAAAUUUUUAAGUAUUGUCUA
RNAcentral lists this transfer RNA (56 nucleotides) under Tanystylum sp. JZ-2022. RNAcentral describes it as "tRNA-Ala". Lineage: Eukaryota; Metazoa; Arthropoda; Pycnogonida; Pantopoda; Tanystylidae. The record is from RNAcentral.